RNAcentral lists this transfer RNA (75 nucleotides) under Candidatus Micrarchaeota archaeon CG09_land_8_20_14_0_10_55_25. Its description in RNAcentral is "tRNA-Arg". It matches the Rfam family "tRNA". Rfam says of the family: Transfer RNA (tRNA) molecules are approximately 80 nucleotides in length. Their secondary structure includes four short double-helical elements and three loops (D, anti-codon, and T loops). Further hydrogen bonds mediate the characteristic L-shaped molecular structure. tRNAs have two regions of fundamental functional importance: the anti-codon, which is responsible for specific mRNA codon recognition, and the 3' end, to which the tRNAs corresponding amino acid is attached (by aminoacyl-tRNA synthetases). tRNAs cope with the degeneracy of the genetic code in two manners: having more than one tRNA (with a specific anti-codon) for a particular amino acid; and 'wobble' base-pairing, i.e. permitting non-standard base-pairing at the 3rd anti-codon position. The record is from RNAcentral. RNAcentral also lists the same sequence under 1 other name. Lineage: Archaea; Nanobdellati; Microcaldota.
GGGCCCAUAGCUCAGCUUGGACAGAGCAACUGCCUUCUAAGCAGGAGGUCGGGGGUUCAAAUCCCCCUGGGCCCG